Trichomycterus rosablanca is the source of this 502-nucleotide long non-coding RNA. RefSeq lists it as uncharacterized. The transcript has 4 exons. Lineage: Eukaryota; Metazoa; Chordata; Actinopteri; Siluriformes; Trichomycteridae. The record is from RefSeq and is a predicted model, not a curated record.
UUCAGUGUCCUGCGCAGAGCUCUGACCUCGAGUCCAAUAAACACCUUUGGAAUGAAUUGAGACUGCAAUUGCAAACCAGGCCUUCUCAACCAAUCACUGCCCAACCUUACAAAUGCUCUUCUGACUGAAUGGGAUGAAAUUCUCACAGACACCCCUCAUCCUAAUGCCAACAGUUUUGGAUUGGGAUGUCCAGCAAUCAAAUGGGCAUAUCCAAGUACCCGCCUCCACCCCUGACCGAGAGGAGUAGUCAAUCAUUCACUUACCACUUCAGGGUCGUGGUGGGUCUGGUGCCAUCUGGAAACACCUGUCACAAGGCCAGGGUUCUCUCAUCUGAAAGGCUGAUGGGGAUUCCCAGGUAUCAGCUUUAAGAUGAGAGGUGAAACGUCUUCAAGAACCUUACAUGAAAUCCAGACUACUACGACCUUGAUGACUGAGAACCUACAUGGACAAAGUCAAAUGACAUUCUGAGUACACAUUUAAGUGUGUAUAUGCAACUAUAACA